UGGAGAGGUCGAGCUUUAUUGUUUUCAUUUUUGAUGGUGUUUAUCGGAUAUUAUAAAAGCUAUAACACCCAAUGACACAUCAAAACUUAGCCCGUUAGGUGGCAAGACACCAACGACACAUGAUCAGUGGUGCAGCACGCAUGCAGCGAAGCUACUUCACUAUAGAUUGGAAACACCAAGUUACGACCAGACAGGAUAGACAACCGGAAGAAGAACCUUUAUGUAUUAUGUAAUUUCACCAAUCCAUUUAAACGUGUAUUUACCAUUGAUUUCAUGAUUAACUCUUGUAAUCCGACCAAAACUGAUAGUACUCCAUCGGAGAGCACCAUUUUUUUUUUGAACUACUGAAAUAUAUACAUUUUGACCAGAAUAAAGAUCAAAAUAUUGAAAAAAGUGAGAAAGGGAUACACUAGUCUGAAAAUUAGAAAUUCAAUUUAAUAUAUUUGGGUUAUUCCAGCAGUUCACCGAUUGUGAAGGACUGGAAACACAAAUGGGGGAAUAACAAUUGAAAACUUCUUAACAUAGCUUUAAUUUCAGUAUAUAAUACUAAGGAUUAGCUAUGAAAGUAAUUAAUAGAUGUAGAUUGGUCAUAUGUAAAAAACAAUAUAGGAUUAGCCUUUAAUAUUCUCUUGUUCUGUUUGGCUAAGAAUUCAUGACAAAUUUAAGGAAUCAAAUGAGGUUCAUCAUACAGAUUAUGCAAAAGAUAGGGAUUACUUAAACGUAUGCGAAUGAAACAUUAUAAAAUUCUGCUUGAAAACACGAAUAAUUGUAAAAUGUGUUUAGCUCUUGAGGAUACCCAGAGUAUGUCUUCAGCUCAUGAUCAAUCAUAUAUAAGUUCAUGAUCAAUCAUAUAUAAGCUCAUGAUCACAUACGACGUUCAUGGUACAAAUCCAUGCAUUCAAAUACUAAUUGAUAGGGGUAUAUCAUGAAUCGGAUGCUAUCAAUAUGGAAGAAAUCACUUUCACUAUUAAAACUUUUCAUUUUUACCCCAAUCUUUAUUUUUAUAGAAUGACAUUCCAAAAUGCAAAGGAAAAACGACCAGUAAAGAAAUCAUGGUAAAACUUUUCAAUUAUUAUCAGAAAAUAGAAUAAGGAUCCAAAUUCCUAUCAAAUGUGCCAAUAAAAAUUACCAAUGGGGACAUCAAUCUUUUACAAUUCUUCUUGAUUUCAUGCUGUGAACCAAAUGUUGUUUUUUAGAUAAUUUUUUUCUUUCAUAUUGAUAGCAUCCGAUUUGAAAUAAAAAACAACUUCAAUGCAACAAAACAUUGUACAAUACAUACCUAGAAUAGAAGAGAAAAGCAUUGGAAGAUGAAGCCACCGGAAGUUUAAAAAAACCCAAACAAAAAAGAGAAAACAGAAAUGAAUUACCUGUUAAGAUGAAGCCACCGGAAGUCGACGAAAAGAUGAAGCCACCGGAGGUCGCGGUCGCCGAUGCUGGAAGGGAUUAGGAAGGAGAAAUCGGAAAAACGGGAUUGGGUUGGGAGAAAUCAAAAAUCGGGAGGGAAGGAGUUUAGGGAUUUAAUUUUUUUUGGGUUUAAAUGUUUAAUUUAGGGGUUUGGGAUAUUUUAUUUGGGUUUUAAAAACUUUUUU
RNAcentral lists this long non-coding RNA (1589 nucleotides) under Zostera marina. RNAcentral's name for it is "long non-coding RNA (ZMAR_LNC003559)". Lineage: Eukaryota; Viridiplantae; Streptophyta; Magnoliopsida; Alismatales; Zosteraceae. The record is from RNAcentral.